Molecule: small nucleolar RNA, 216 nt
Organism: Spea bombifrons (plains spadefoot toad)
Lineage: Eukaryota; Metazoa; Chordata; Amphibia; Anura; Pelobatidae
Product: small nucleolar RNA U3
Exons: 1
Source: RefSeq, a predicted model, not a curated record
AAGACUAUACUUUCAGGGAUCAUUUCUAUAGUUCUUAACUGGAGAAAUGUGCUCGAAAGUGGUCAAACUCAGUAACCAUGAGGAAGAGCUGCAGUGUGUUCCCCUGAGCAUGAAGUGGGUAUCAAGUACUGUUUAUAACAGCUGCUUGUUACUUUUGAUGAUUGUUCCUCUCUUUAUUCAUGAGGAGUAGGAGGGGGAAUACACAAGCUGAAUGGU